AACGAACGCUGGCGGCAUGCCUAACACAUGCAAGUCGAACGAGACCUUCGGGUCUAGUGGCGCACGGGUGCGUAACGCGUGGGAACCUGCCCUUAGGUUCGGAAUAACUCCCCGAAAGGGGUGCUAAUACCGGAUAAUGUCUUCGGACCAAAGAUUUAUCGCCUUUGGAUGGGCCCGCGUUGGAUUAGCUAGUUGGUAGGGUAAAAGCCUACCAAGGCGACGAUGCAUAGCUGGUCUGAGAGGAUGAUCAGCCACACUGGGAAUGAGACACGGCCCAGACUCGUACGGGAGGCAGCAGUAGGGAAUAUUGGACAAGGGGCGAAAGCCUGAUCCAGCAAUGCCGCGUGAGUGAUGAAGGCCUUAGGGUUGUAAAGCUCUUUUACACGGGAUGAUAAUGACAGUACCGGGAGAAUAAGCACCGGCUAACUCCGUG
Molecule: ribosomal RNA, 433 nt
Filed under: uncultured bacterium
Lineage: Bacteria
Description: partial 16S ribosomal RNA
Rfam family: Bacterial small subunit ribosomal RNA
Source: RNAcentral